AAUAAAUCGUUGAAAAAGAUCAGUACUAUAUAGAAUAUUUUAGAGAGAACAUGGUGGGUGAAAAUGUUUAUAGGAUAUAUAGGAAAGCUACUUUGGAGAGUAAUUAAUGAUUACCGUAGAACUGCGUUAAAGUUUAAUUAAGGGCAUGUAUUUUUACAUGAACUAGGAUGGUACCGCGAUAAAGUCGUUCCUAGA
RNAcentral lists this non-coding RNA (195 nucleotides) under Coprobacillus sp. Its description in RNAcentral is "T-box sequence". It matches the Rfam family "T-box leader". Rfam says of the family: Uncharged tRNA acts as the effector for transcription antitermination of genes in the T-box leader family. T-boxes are found upstream of many aminoacyl-tRNA synthetase genes and some amino acid biosynthetic genes usually in Gram-positive bacteria. The anticodon of a specific tRNA base pairs to a specifier sequence within the T-box motif, and the NCCA acceptor tail of the tRNA base pairs to a conserved bulge in the T-box antiterminator hairpin. The record is from RNAcentral. Lineage: Bacteria; Bacillati; Bacillota; Erysipelotrichia; Erysipelotrichales; Coprobacillaceae.